This 196-nucleotide ribosomal RNA is filed under the name Deronectes doriae. RNAcentral describes it as "partial 16S ribosomal RNA". The stretch from base 1 to 122 matches the Rfam family "Bacterial large subunit ribosomal RNA", at positions 2521 to 2643 of the family's 2925-position model. Lineage: Eukaryota; Metazoa; Arthropoda; Insecta; Coleoptera; Dytiscidae. The record is from RNAcentral.
CGACCUCGAUGUUGGAUUAAAAAUUAUUUUGGGUGUAGAAGUUCAAAAUUUUGGUCUGUUCGACCAUUAAAUUUUUACAUGAUCUGAGUUCAGACCGGCGUAAGCCAGGUCGGUUUCUAUCUUUAUUUUAUUUAUAUAUUUUAGUACGAAAGGACCAAAUAUUUAAUAUAUUAAUAUUUUUGUUUUGAUUAAUAUU